AUAUCUCUCUGUACGGGAAGGAUGAGAAGCUUCGACUAAGGUUCGAUUCGAGCGUCAGCGAGAAAGCGUUGC
Molecule: small RNA, 72 nt
Filed under: Salmonella enterica
Lineage: Bacteria; Pseudomonadati; Pseudomonadota; Gammaproteobacteria; Enterobacterales; Enterobacteriaceae
Also listed under: 5 other names
Description: partial RtT sRNA
Rfam family: RtT RNA
About the family: This family represents a bacterial cis-regulatory element known as RtT RNA. The exact function of RtT is unknown although it is thought that it may be involved in changing the cellular response in relation to amino acid starvation.
Source: RNAcentral